AACACAGCGGUGUAAUGGUAUCACGCCCGCACAUAGGUUCAAGCAUAUUCUGCGGGAGUUCCCUGUUCGAUUCGGGCUGGGUCA
Non-coding RNA from Mycena rebaudengoi, 84 nucleotides. The record is from the annotation of a GenBank genome assembly. NCBI's taxonomy places the organism in Eukaryota, Fungi, Basidiomycota, Agaricomycetes, Agaricales, Mycenaceae.